CAGUAGCCGCGGGAAUACGUAGGGUGCAAGCGUUAAUCGGAAUUACUGGGCGUAAAGCGUGCGCAGGCGGUUUUGUAAGUCUGUCGUGAAAUCCCCGGGCUCAACCUGGGAAUGGCGAUGGAGACUGCAAGGCUAGAAUCUGGCAGAGGGGGGUAGAAUUCCACGUGUAGCAGUGAAAUGCGUAGAUAUGUGGAGGAACACCGAUGGCGAAGGCAGCCCCCUGGGCUAAGAUUGACGCUCAUGCACGAAAGCGUGGGGAGCAAACAGGAUUAGAUACCCGUGUAGUCCCUGUCUCUUAUAA
This 301-nucleotide ribosomal RNA is filed under the name uncultured bacterium. RNAcentral describes it as "partial 16S ribosomal RNA". It matches the Rfam family "Bacterial small subunit ribosomal RNA", at positions 509 to 809 of the family's 1533-position model. The record is from RNAcentral.